GACGAACGCUGGCGGCGUGCUUAACACAUGCAAGUCGAACGGAAAGGCCCUGCUUUUGUGGGGUGCUCGAGUGGCGAACGGGUGAGUAACACGUGAGUAACCUGCCCUUGACUUUGGGAUAACUUCAGGAAACUGGGGCUAAUACCGGAUAGGAGCUCCUGCUGCAUGGUGGGGGUUGGAAAGUUUCGGCGGUUGGGGAUGGACUCGCGGCUUAUCAGCUUGUUGGUGGGGUAGUGGCUUACCAAGGCUUUGACGGGUAGCCGGCCUGAGAGGGUGACCGGCCUCAUUGGGACUGAGAUACGGCCCAGACUCCUACGGGAGGCAGCAGGGGGGAAUAUUGCACAAUGGGCGGAAGCCUGAUGCAGUAACGCCGCGUGCGGGAUGACGGCCUUCGGGUUGUAAACCGCUUUCGCCUGUGACGAAGCGUGAGUGACGGUAAUGGGUAAAGAAGCACCGGCUAACUACGUG
RNAcentral lists this ribosomal RNA (468 nucleotides) under uncultured bacterium. RNAcentral describes it as "partial 16S ribosomal RNA". It matches the Rfam family "Bacterial small subunit ribosomal RNA", at positions 28 to 507 of the family's 1533-position model. The record is from RNAcentral.